CUACGUGCCAGCAGCCGCGGUAAUACGUAGGUGGCAAGCGUUGUCCGGAUUUAUUGGGCGUAAAGCGAGCGCAGGCGGUUCCUUAAGUCUGAUGUGAAAGCCCCCGGCUCAACCGGGGAGGGUCAUUGGAAACUGGGGAACUUGAGUGCAGAAGAGGAGAGUGGAAUUCCAUGUGUAGCGGUGAAAUGCGUAGAUAUAUGGAGGAACACCAGUGGCGAAGGCGACUCUCUGGUCUGUAACUGACGCUGAGGCUCGAAAGCGUGGGUAGCAAACAGGAUUAGAUACCCUGGUAGUCCACGCCGUAAACGAUGAGUGCUAAGUGUUGGAGGGUUUCCGCCCUUCAGUGCUGCAGUUAACGCAUUAAGCACUCCGCCUGGGGAGUACGACCGCAAGGUUGAAACUCAAAGGAAUUGACGGGGGCCCGCACAAGCGGUGGAGCAUGUGGUUUAAUUCGAAGCAACGCGAAGAACCUUACCAGGUCUUGACAU
Molecule: ribosomal RNA, 488 nt
Filed under: uncultured bacterium
Lineage: Bacteria
Description: bacterial SSU rRNA
Rfam family: Bacterial small subunit ribosomal RNA
Source: RNAcentral